Molecule: long non-coding RNA, 12795 nt
Organism: Loxodonta africana (African savanna elephant)
Lineage: Eukaryota; Metazoa; Chordata; Mammalia; Proboscidea; Elephantidae
Exons: 3
Source: RefSeq, a predicted model, not a curated record
CCUCGGCCCAACUUUCUUCCCCAACCGGAAGUCGCCGCCCCGCCCCGCCUCGCCCCGCCCCGCCCGCCUUUUACCGGACGGCCGGCUCGGAGGAGGUGGGGCGGAGGCCGCGACUGGCAGGGACAAACUCCAAUGAGAAACGGAGGAGCCGAAGGCCCCGCCCACCCCUCUGGGCUUCAGCGCCGCUGCCACGGGCACCGCCCACACAGGUUCUUCUUUUCUGCGCCCGGUUCCUGGUGUUUCUGGGGCGUUAAUGGCGGCCGACCUGGUGGGUCUGUGGCCUUCUCCCGAAGGCGUCGCAGGAGCUGAGGGUGCUGCUGCACGAUGCAGAAGGCGGAGGCAGGUGAAGGGCACCAGGUGUGCCGCGAGGUGGCGAUGGAAGGUGGCAGAGAAGCCAGCUGGGAGGGCGGGGAGCAAACCCGAAGUCCUUGCAGACCCCGUCAUUGAACGUGGCCUGGUGUGUCAUUGCUUCCAGUCGAGGCCUUCUCAGUAGACAGAGCUGGGAUAGAUACACACAAGUAUUUAUUCGAAAUCAUGGAUUUAUACUGAUAUCUCCAUUUCCAGCCCAAUCGUCCUUUGCCCAAGUUGCUCCACAGUAAAGAGAGCGAGAGCGAGUGCCUACGUUUCCAGCCUCCUCGCUCACCACUUCCGUCUCUCAGCAGCACCCGUGUUACUUCACACCUGCGCGGUACAUGUACAUGUUUGAACCAGAGCCUUGGCUUUGGAAUCAGACAGCCCCAGUUUCAAAUCAGCCCCUGCCAAUGAAGACUUCUAUGAUUUGCGUGUACCCUUGUUUGUGCGUGGGGAUGACAUCUUCCACGGGUUGUUGUGAGGACAAAAUUCUGUGCAUGGACUAAGCAUUCAUUCAAUGGUAGCUGUUUAUUAAUUCCAUACUUUUCAACAGUGCAGUUCUCUCUAUCUGUAAUGCCCCCACUUUUUUUCUCUUUUUAAUCAGCUGGAAAACUUCUCGAGGAGCCCUGGUGGCACAGUGGUUAAAAGCGUUCGGCUGCUAACUGAAAGAUCGGCGGUUCAAAACCCACGAGCCACUCCAGAGAAGAAUGUGGCAGUCCAUAAAGAUUUACAGCCUCGGAAAAGCUAUGGGGCAGUUCUACUCUGUCCUGCAGGGUGACUGUGAGAGAAUCUUCUCCACAGCAGUGGGUUUGGCCCAACUUAUCACAUCAAGAUAUCCUCCACAUGCUCUUUACUCCCUUUCUUUGCUAUUACUUUAGCACGGAUAUAUGAAUAACCUCGUUGUAACCUUAUUACACUGGACAAGUAUUUAUUGAAUGAGUGACAUUAACGUUUAUCUAGGAAAAUGACAUUUUAGAGAUGUGAUAACUAGAAUUGUACCUUCUACGUGGCUGCACAGCAUGUACAACUAGAGUAGAACUUGGAUCCUGAAGCCCCAGACAGUAUUCUUUCUAUAAUACCAGGCUGCCUCCUGUUUUCACUUAGUUCUUUCAUUUGUUGUUGUCGGGUGCUGUCCUAGCGGCCCUAUAUGACAGAGUACAACAGCUCUAUAGGGUUUCCUAGGCUUGAAGCCCUGGUGGUGUAGUGGUUAAGAGCUUGGCUGCUAACCAGAAAGGUUGGCAGUUCAAAUGCACCAGCCUGUCCUUGGAAACACUAUGGGGCAUUUCUGCUCUUUCCUAUGGGGUCACUAUGAGUCAGAACCGAGUCAGCGUCACCUACGAACAACAACAGUCUUUACAGGAGCAGAUUGCCAGGUCUUUCUCCUGCAGAGCCACUGGGUGGGUUCAAACUACCAACCUUUUGGUUAGCAGCCAAGCACAUAACCAUUGCACCAGCAGGGCUCCUUGUUCUUUUAUUAGACCAAUGAUUUUCAAACUUUUAAAGGCAUAGAAUCCUUUAUUCAAAUUUAUCUUAUGAAACCCCAACAUAUCAAAUAGGUAAAAAGUAAAGCUGCCAUAGCUGCAGUUGGAAGAUCGAGAAGUGGGAGAGGGUAGGAGGCCUCAGGGUAAUAUGCUCUCCCUUCACCUGCUUCAACAGCUGUUGAGGUACUUCAGCCUUCUGAACACCUUGAAAAACACUGCAUUAGUUCAUAAAUUUCUCCAGUAGAGUCCAUAUCUUACUUUUAUGGCCCCAGUGCCUAGCACAGUGCAGUUUUCCUGGAAGUACAUUUAAUUGGUCUUAGCAAAUUGAUCUCAAACGUUUCUGUGGUCUUUUACUUUUCCUUCUUAUGGGAUGAAAUGGAUUACUAAUUUUUACUUCUUAAGAAAUAACAUUUAUUACUUUCUUCUGAUUUUAAAAACAAGUCAUGCAGAAUGUAGAAAAUGUCAGCAAAUACCUGUUGAGUACAGUAUGGAAAAUGCAGCAAAACCCCUUGAUGAUGUAGAUCCAGAUACAACACUAUUGGUGACUGGCUCCUGCCCACUAGACAGGCACAUCCUAGUCAUUUCACUGACUUCUUCCUAAUGCGACCUCACAUUUUAGGUUAUUGAAUUUUGGGGGCCUCAUUGCCUUCUGUUUUCCUGCACAAAAACCUUGCUAGGUAGAUAUCCCCAUUUUACAAAUGGGGGAGUUGGGGCCUUUAAAAAAGUAAGGCUAGCAAGGUCUAACAAUGUUCAUUAUUGCUUUUUAAGGUCUCACCAGAAGCAUAUUUAAUGUCCACAUUUCUAGUACAUUCUGUUCAUGAUAGAAGCUUUCUCUGCAGUUUACACUUCUUUCUGAGCCCGCACCGGAAGUCUCUUGAAGGCACUCUGAACUUUGACUAUCAGGCGUCUCAAAACUCUUCCAACCUCUACCCAUCACCCAAUUCCAAUGCCACUCCUACUUUUUUUAGUAUUUGUUACAGCAACAUCCCCCUUUCUGGAACCAGAAUCUGUAUUAGUCUCCUAGGGCUGCUAUAACAAAUACCACAAAUUAGGUGACUUUUAAUAAGAGAAAUUUACUGUUUCACAGUUCUGGAUGCUAGAAGUCCAAAUCAACAUGUUGGUCAGGCCAUGCUGUCUCCCAAGUCUUUUGGGGGAAUAUUCCUCCUUGUCUUUACUGACUUCUGAUAGCCCCAGAUAUCACUGACUUGCAGCUGCAGCAUAACUCCAACUCUGCCUCUGUCAUCACCUAGCCAUCUUUCCUCUGUCUGUCUCUGUCUCUCCUUCUCUUUUAUAGGACCAAACUCAGAUUGGAUUAGGACCCACCCUACUUCAGUAUGGUCUGAUAUUUAACUGAUAACAUUUCAAAGACCCUAUUUCCAAACAGGGUCACAUUCACAGGUACCAGGGGUUAGGACUUCAACAUAAAUUAUGGGAGGCAUGAUUCAAUCCAUAACAGAAUGUUUUGGGCAGAAUUUUAAUUCCAUCCAAAGAUGUUCACUCAUUUUACAACCUGAUAGUAUUACUGUAGCUAUCUAAUCUAGCUCUCUUAUUCUGUACCUGAAAAACUCAGGAAGGGGCCAUCUAUGUGAUUUAUUUAAUUGUUUGGUUUAUAAGUCAGUAAACCAAAAGGCUUGUACUUAUGACAGAAAAGUACUUCUUUAUAUUGUCAAUUAUCUAACUUCUUCCAAGCUAUUUUUAUUUAUGUUGCGAAGAUAAGUAUUUAUAUUAACAAACAGUAUUAAACCAAGUUAGUUGGAAGCAAGUUGUGUUCUAAAGAAUUUAACCUUGCCCAAAGAGAGAGGUCUGGCCUUUGCCUUCUCUUCUGGGAGGUAAUCUCUUAGCCCUAGGAAUGUUGUGCCUCAUAGGAGCAUCUUUGUAUACCUGGGGGCCUUGGACCAGCUAGAUAGCAUCAAAGUGAUUUCCAGGGGUGCCUUUGGGUCACAUAGUAUUACCUCAACCUCCACCUCCUGAGGGACUGAAGACUGAGAUCAUUCAUGUGGGCAGUCAUUCAUGUUUAUAUGAUGGAGCUCAAUUAAAAACUCUGGACACCAAGCCUCAGAUGAGCUUCCCUGGUUAGCAGUACUCUGUGUGUAUUGUCACAGAUUUUUACCAGGAGGAGUGAAUGCUGCCCACAACUCCAUGGGGAGAGGACAACUGGAAACUCUGCGUUUGGAACCCGCCUGGACUCUGCUCUGUGCAUGUCUUCCCUUGGCUGAUUUUAAUCUGUAUCCUUUAGCUGUAUUAAACCAACAACUGUGGGUAUGGCAGCUUUCACUGAGUUCUGUGCGUCUUUCCAGUGAAUUAUUGAACCUGAGGGUGGUUUUGAGAACCACCGAACUCUGCAGUUGGUGUUAGAAGUGAGAGUGGCCUUGGUGGACUAUGCCCUAACUUUGCAAGUAGCUAACGUCACACAAGUUAAUUGAUUUGAAAGUGGAUUUCAGACAUCAUGGCAUUUCAAAACUCAGAAACCAAACCCAGUGCCAUCGAGUCAAUUCCGACUCAUAGCGACCCUAUAGGACAGAGUAGAACUGCCCCAUAGAGUUUCCAAGGAGCGCUUGACAGAUUCGAACUGCAGACCCUUGGUUAGCAGCCGUAGCACUUAACCUCUGCGCUGCCAGGGUUUCCUCAUGGCAUUUCACACCUACGUUUUUCAGCAUAUGCCUUUUAAGAAUAAGUACAGUGUUCUACAAAACCACAGUCUUAUUAUCACACCUAUAAAAUAAAUAAGCAAUAAUUCCAUCCUAUCUAAUAUCCAGCCCAUAUUCAUGGCUCUCCACUUGUUCCCAAAAUGUUUAUAGCUGUUUCUGCCUCUGAAUUGAGACCCAAUCAAGGUUCAUACAUUGCUUUUGCCAUUAUGUCUCUGUAAUCUUUUAAUCCAGAAUAGCCCUCUGAUUUUUUUUUUUUCAUGACACGUUUUUAAGAGUUCACACUUUUUGUCUUGUAGGAAUGUCCAGUGUGCUGUAUUUGUCUGAUUGUGUCCUCAAGGUUAAUUACAUUUUAAAGUGACAUUUAUAAAUAUUGUCGUUAAGAUAUUUGAUAGCACUCUAGACGGUCUGGAUGUUUGACGUGAACAUUCUUUGCAUUUGAUGAUAUAAAAUUAACAUUGUAGUGACAUCAGGACCAAGUGAAAGUAUGAGAAAAAAGUAGGGAUCUGUGCUUUGGGAUUUAUACUUGGGAAAGUUAAUAAAUAUUAUUAGAGUAAAUAUUUUACUAUCCAGUUUCUUGACUUCUUCAGGCCUCUUGCCUGCUUUAUGGCCUCUGCAUACACAAGAACGUCUCAGGAUUGGAGAAGAAAUAAUUCUAAAGAAUUAUUGUGCGAAUGUUUUAUAAUUUAGUCGUUUUAAAUAAUUGUUAUUUUUAGUGUGAUAAUCAAUUGGAUUUCUGUUUUGUAGCCUUUUAUUGAAGAAAUUUUCAACCCAACAUAAAAGUGAAAAGUACUGCUCAGUGAACUCCAGUGAACCGUCACUAACUUCAGCCGCCAUCGGCUUGCUCCUGUUCUUAUUUCAUCUAUUUCCCUUGACACACAGUUGUUGUUAUUGUUUGCUGGAAUAUUUUAAAGCAGAUACCAGGCAUCACACCUUUUCUCCUUGAAAUGCUUUGGUACAUGUUCUAACAGAUACUGACUUUUUAAAAGCGUUAUCACAAUACCAGUAUUAUAGUCCACAAAAUUAACAGUAAUUUCUCAUUACUGUCUAAUACUAGAGCUGUGUUCAGAUUUCCUCAAUUGUCUCAAGAAUACCAUCUUACAGGUUUUUUUUUUCUUCAAUCAGAUCCAGUCAAGGUCCACAGAUUGGUUUUGGCUGAUAUGUCUCUUAAGACUAUUUUAAUCUGUAACACUUCCCCCUCUCUCUUUUUUUUUUUAAUGCCAUUUUUGUUUGAAGAAACUGGGUCAUGUGUCCUGGAGAGUUUCCCACAUUCUGGAUUUGGCUGGUUGUAUCUGCACAGUGUUAUUUUUCUUGUUUCUCUAGCCUCCAUAUUUUCUGUAAACUGGUAGUUAGAUCUAGAAGAUUCAUUAGAUUUAGGUUUCAUUAUUUUGUCAAAUGUAUUUCAGAGGCAGUAGUAUGGACUUCCCAUUGCAUCACAUUUGGAGGAACAUGAUGUUUGAUGCCCCACAUUUAGUGAUGUUAAGAUUAGCCAGUGGGCUCUGGCACUGUCAGAUGGUCUAUUACAGAGGUCCCCUUGAGCUUCCCACUUAAUAGCUUUAGCAGAUUGUUGCCUGAUUGGACCGGGAAACAUGAUCAAGUAGUUUGCCUGACCCACAAUUUCUCAGUUCCAAAGCUAGUAGGUUUUGACCUAAUUAGCCACUGCAGUUGCUUUCAAAUAGAAUUAUAGUUUUGAAACUAGGUUAGUUAAACAGUUUUUAAAAAGCAAAUCACAUAGACACUUGGUGUGUGUAGGCUAUAGUUUUAGUUGUGAUAUUUGCCAUUCAGAAGGUUAGUCUUCCCCACCUCACACCAUAUACAAAAUUAACUCAAAAUAGAUCAAAGACAUAAAUGUAAGAGCUAAAACUAUGAAAACUUAGACCUUGGAUUAAGCAAUGAUUUCUUAGGUGUGACACCAAAGACACAAGCAACAAAAGAAAAAAAGACAAAUUUGACUUCAUCAAAAUUAAAAACAUUUGUGCUGCAAUAAAAAACCAACAAGAGUAUAAAAAGACAACCCACGGAAUGGGGAAGAAUAUCUGCGAAUCAUAUAUCUGAUAAGGGAGUUGCAUCUGGAGUAUCUAAAGAACUCUUACAACUCAAUAAGAAGACAAGCCAAUCAAUGAGAAGUGUUAUAAGGAAAAUAACACAGGGCAAUGUGUUAGUGACUUGGGAUGGGUGACACCACUCAGGAUGUAGCAUAUAACCCGAGUCCUGUGUCCGUUAGGAUUAGAUUCAGCUGUAAGUGACAGAAAAUCCAGAAUAAAGUGGCUUAAAAAAUAGACGUUUCUUUCUCUGCCACAUUAAUGAGGUCUGUAGGCAAGGAUUCUAGGGCCAAAUGACACUCCACGGUAACGUGGACCCAUCCUUCUCUGUCUUGUUGCUCUGCCAUCCUUGCAAACUGAAACCAAACCAACUGCUGUCGAGUCGAUUCCGACUCAUAGCGACCCCACGGGACAGAGUAGAGCUGCUCGAUAGAGUUUUCAAGGAGCACCAUGCGGAUUCGAACUGCCAACCUCUUAGUUAGCAGCCUUAGCUCUUAAUCACUGCACCACCAGGGUUUCCCCAUCCUCCUUACACAUCCUUAUUUCAUGGUAUGUGAUGGUUGCUUGUGCUCUAGCUAUCAUUUCCACAUUCUAGCUAGUAGGAAGGGGAGGAGUUCGUGGUGUGGAGAUGGUCAAGAAGGACAAGCUUCUUCCAUUUAAGCACCUUUCCUGCAAGUUGUAUGUACUAUUUCGAGUUCCAUCCCACUGGAUAGAACUUGGCCAGCCAUAUGUAGCUCUAAGAGAGGCUGGAAAUUAUAGCCUUUGUUCUGGAUGGCCAUGUGCUAAGCUAAAAAUUGGGCAUUCUAUUUCCAAGGAAGAAGGAGAGAAUGGAUAUUGAAGGAUAACUAGAGAUCUUUGCCUUAAAAUGAUGAGAAGAGGACCACAUGAACCACAGCCUCCACCAGCCUGAGCCCAGAAGAGCUAGAUGGUGCCUAGCUACGAUCGCUGACCACCCUGACAGCCUUAAAUAUGGACAGCUUGGGAUCCUCAGAAAUUUGUGGAAAAUCUCUAACAUGUGAGACAAAAACCAAAAUAGUGAUGAUGAGAAGGGCAGAAGAAAAAAAAAAUUAAGUCACUCUAAUUUCCUCAUAUCCUCAGACGGGAAGGGACAGGCAACAUGGCCGACAACAGUCUCCAACAUCAAAACGCAAGCUGCUGACCUCCGAAUGAUCUGUCAUCACCAAAAGAAAUGUGAAUGAUGAGAACAACCACAAAAAUUUCAAUCUAAGAAUCAUUGGAUUGCCUAGACAAAAUGCAUAAAAUUUGCUGAAACUCAGAAUUUAUGUAUCUUUUACUGAAAUACCAUAUUCUGUAAUAUCAACUGUGAUUAAAAGCUGAUGUUAAUAAUGUGCUAUUGAAAAGACAAGCAACACAAGGCUUGUGGGGGCAGCGAUCAAUUUAAAUCUCUAGUGAAAGAUUCAAAAGGGAUGUGUUCCAGGGCCAAGUCCCCCACCAGCAGUGUCUGGAACAGCAUGAGCUUUAUUCACAAGCUGUUUCAGGCCUCGAAGUUUAACAAACAAGUCUCAAAAAAAAUAUGAGUUUAUGGAACUAAAUAUAGAACUUAAUAAGUAAGACUAAGUACAGGCCCUGCCUCUGCUAUUGGCUUGGAGGUCUGAGAUCUAUUUCUUCUACCUUACUGUCUUACUUCUUUUUUUUUAGCGUACUUUAGAUGAAGGUUUACAGAACAAACUAGUUUCUCAUUAAACAGUACAUACAUUGUUUUAUGAUGUUGGUUAACAACGCCACGACAUGUCAACACUCCCCUUUCUCAACCUUAGCUUUCCUAUUACCAGCUUUCCUGGCUCCUCCUGCCUUCUAGUCCUUGCCCCAGGGCUGGUGUGCCCCUUUAGUCUUGUUUUGCUUUAUGGGCCUGUCCAGUCUUUGGCUGAAGGGUGAAGUCCAGGAGUGACUUCAUUAUUAUUGGGCUCAUACGGUGUCUAGGGGCCAUAUUCUCAGGGUUUCUGCAAUCUCUGUCAGGCCAGCAAGUCUGGUCUUUCUUUUUGAGUUAGAAUUUUGUUCUGCCUUUUUCUUCAGCCCUGACCCUCUAUCGUGAUCCCUGUGAGAGCAGUCAGUGGUGGUAGCCAGGUACCACCUAGUUGUACUGGACUCAGUCUGAUGGAGGCUGUGGUAGAUGUGGUACAUUAGUCCUUUGGACUAACCUUUCCCUUGUGUCUUUAGGUUUCUUCAUUCUUCCUUGCUCCCGAAGGGAUGAGAAAAGUGGAGUAUUCUAGGUGGCCGCUCACAGGCUUUUAAGACUCCAGAUACUACUCACCACAGUAGAAUGUACAGCAUUUUCUUUAUAAACUAUGUUAUGCCAAUUCAGCUAGAUGUUUCCCAAGACCAUGGUCCCCACAGCCCUCAAAACUGGCUUACUUCUUACCUGUAUUAUCAUCUUUAUGACUUUAGCUGAGAUCUUCACCUAGAACUCCCGGUUGAAGCCUUGAGCCAUCUUCAAGCUUUGACUUAUCUCCUGGUUUUUAGAUAAGGUGUAGACAGCAAGAAGAUUUAGGAGGGAGUUAACUCUUUCUGGAGUCCCUGUUGUUGUUCUUGUUAGGUGCCGUCGAGUUGGUUCCGACUCGUAGCGACCCCAUGCACAUCAGAACAAAACACUGCCUUGUUCUGAGCCAUCCUUACAAUCGUUGUUAUGCUUGAGCUCAUUGUUGCAGCCACUGUGUCAAUCCACGUCGUUGAGGGUUCUUCGUCGGUUCCACUGACCCUGUACUCUGCCAAGCAUGAUGCCCUUCUCCAGGGACUGAUCCCUCCUGACAACAUGUCCAAAGUAUGUAAGAUGCAGUCUCGCCAUCCUUGCCUAUAAGGAGCAUUCUGGCUGCACUUCUUCUAAGACAGAUUUGUUCGUUCUUUUGGGAGUCCAUGGUAUAUUCAAUAUUCUUCGCCAACACCACAAUUCAAAGGCAUCAAUUCUUCUUCAGUCUUCCUUAUCCAUUGUCCAGCUUUCACAUGCAUAUGAUGCGAUUGAAAAUACCAUGGCUUGGGUCUGCCACACCUUAGUCUUCAGGGUGACAUCUUUGCUCUUCAACACUUUAAAGAGGUCCUUUGCAGCAGAUUUACCCAAUGCAAUGCAUCUUUUGAUUUCUUGACUGCUGCUUCCAUGGCCCUUGAUUGUGGAUCCAAGUAAAAGGAAAUCCUUGACAACUUCAGUCUUUUCUCUGUUUAUCAUGAUGUUGCUCAUUGGUCCAGUUGUGAGGAUUUUUGUUUUCUUUAUGUUGAGGUGCAAUCCGUACUGAAGGCUGUGGUCUUUGGUCUUCAUUAGUAAGUGCGUCAAGUCUUCUUCACUUUCAGCAAGUAAGGUUGUGUCAUCUGCAUAAUGCAGGUUGUUAAUGAGUCUUCCUCCAAUCCUGAUGCCCCAUUCUUCUUCACAUAGUCCAGCUUCUCAGAUUAUUUGUCAGCAUACAGAUUGAAUAGGUAUGGUGAAAGAAUACAACCCUGACUCACAUCUUCCCUGACUUAAAACCAAUCAGUAUCCCCUUGUUCUGUCCGAACAACUGCCUCUUGAUCUAUGUAAAGGUUCUUCAUGAGCACAAUUAAGUGUUCUGGAAUUCCCAUUCUUCACAGUGUUAUCCAUAGUUUUUUAUGAUCCACACAGUCGAAUGCCUUUGCAUAGUCAAUAAAACACAGGUAAACAUCCUUCUGGUAUUCUCUGCUUUCAGCCAGGAUCCAUCUGACAUCAGCAAUGAUAUCCCUUGUUCCACGUCCUCUUCUGAAACCAGCCUGAAUUUCUGGCAGUUCCCUGUUGAUAUACUACUGCAGCCGUUUUUGAAUGAUCUUCAGCAAAAUUUUGCUUGGGUGUGAUGUUCAUGAUAUUGUUCUAUAAUUUCCACAUUCGGUUGGAUCACCUUUCUUGGGAAUAGGCAUAAAUAUGGAUCUCUUCCAGUCAGUUGGCCAGGAAGCUGUCUUCCAUAUUUCUUGGCGUAGAUGAGUGAGCACCUCCAGCAUUACAUCUGUUUGUUGAAACAUCUCAAUUGAUAUUGCAUCAAUUCCUGGAGCCUUGUUUUUCUCCAGUGCCUUCAGAGCAGCUUGGACUUCUUCCUUCAGUACCAUGAGUUCCUGAUCAUAUGCCACCUCUUGAAAUGGUUCAGCAUCAACUAGUUCUUUUUGAUAUAAUGACUCUGUGUAUUCCUUCCAUCUUCUUUUGAUGCUUCCUGCAUCGUUUAAUAUUUUCCCCAUGGAAUCCUUCACUAUCGCAACUCGAGGCUUGAAUUUUUUCUUCAGUUCUUUCAGCUUGAGAAACGCCAAGCAUGUCCCUCCCUUUUGGUUUUCCAUCCCCAGCUCUUUGCACAUGUCAUUAUAAUAUUUUGUCUUCUCAAGACGCCCUUUGAAAUCAUCUGUUCAGUUCUUUUACUUCAUCAGUUCUUCCUUUUGCUUUAGCUGCUCGACGCUCAAGAGCAAGUUUCAGAGUCUCCUCUGAUGUCCAUCUUGGGCUUUUCUUUCUUUCCUGUCUUUUCGGUGACCUCUUGCUUUCUUCAUGGAAGAUAUCCUUGAUGUCAUUCCACAACUCGUCUGGUCUUCGGUCACUAGUGUUCAAUGCGUCAAAUCUAUUCUUGAGAUGGUCUCUAAAUUCAGGUGGGAUGUACUCAAGGUCAUAUUUUGGCUCUCGUGGACCUCCUCUGAUUUUCUUCAGUUUCAGCUUGAACUUGCAUAUGAGCAAUUAAUGGUCUGUUCCACAGUUGGCCCCUGGCCUUGUUCUGACUGAUGAUAUUGAGCUUCUCCAUCGUCUCUUUCCGCAGAUGUAGUCAAUUUGAUUUCUGUGUGUUCCAUCUUGUAAGGUCCAUGUGUAUAGUCACCGUUUAUGUUGGUGAAAGAAGGUAUUUGCAAUGAAGAAGUCGUUGGUUUUGCAAAAUUCUAUCAUUCGAUCUCCGGCAUUGUUUCUAUCACCAAGGCUGUAUUUUCCAACUUCUGGUCCUUCUUCUUUAUUUCCAACUUUCGCAUUCCAAUCGCCAGUAAUUAUCAAUGCAUCUUGAUUGCAUGUUUGAUCAAUUUUCAGAGUGCAGCAGCUGAAAAAAAUCUUGUAUUUCUUCAUCUUUGGCCCUAAUGGUUGGUGCGUAAAUUUGAAUAAUAGUCGUAUUAACUGGUCUUCCUUGUAGGAGUAUGGAUAUUAUCCUAUCACUGACAGUGUUGUACUUCAGGAUAGAUCUUGGUGCAAACAGUUAACGUGCUGGGCUGCUAAUCAAAAGAUUGGAGGUUCGAGUCCACUGAGAAGUGCCUUGGAAGAAAGGCCUGACAGUAUACUUUCAAAAAAUCAGUCAUGGAAAAGCCUGUGAAGCACCACUUUACUUUACCCUGAGACACAUUGCCAUGAGUCGGAGCCGACUGCUCAGCAGCUGGUGUGGUGUCGUGUAACUCUGCCGCUGUUAAAGCGAUGUUAGCCCAACGGUUUCCAAUCUUUUGCCACGAAGAUCCCAUUGAGUACACAUCGCUGCUUAAUUUUGGCUCUCACCCUGAACCCUUGCUGGGCAGAGCACGUACUGUAUGUGUUCAGCAUGUGCAAGUGGCUGACAUGUGCCCACCAUGGCACACCCUGAAAUCAUCUGUAUUACUCUUCUUUUGUAAAAAAUUGAAAGUAGCUCCCAGGUGCCCAUGACUGCCAUCAAAUUCAUUACAGCCCUUUAUUUUAAAGACGAGCAGAGGAGUUAAAUGGUGGAAUAGUGAAUGUAGCAGAAAGCAUCCUGAAUCAUGAGUUAGAAGAACUGUGCUCUAGUCUCCACUUUAACAAAUAGCUAGCUUUUUUACCUUGCUAGGCUUUCUUAAUUUUUCUCACUUUACACAGUUUUGCCAGGUUUGUUUUUUGCCCCAAUAAAUGCAUUUACUCUUGUAAUUUAAAAAGGUACUAUUACGAUUUUACAAAUCACAGUUAUAACAUUAAAAAUCGUGUUUUAUUUUUUCAGUGGUGAAGUUCUAAUGAGAGUGUGUGUUAAGAUGAUCAGAUGUUCCCAUAGACUUGCUCCUUCCUUAGUGCCCUUCCUUUCCCAUAGUCUCCCUUUUCUCUCCUCAACUAUAGGAUUCACCACGUUCACCCCCAUGGCCUGUGUUAACGGUUUUGGAAACGUGAUCGCUUCUUUGUAUUUGUUCAGAUAAACAUAGGUAAUUGAUCCAACAUGACACUUGCUUUCCCAAUUAUAAAUGUAGUAUAUUGGUGCCUGAAAGAAUGUUAUCAUUGAUGAUAGGUUUGAGACGGAAUCCCCACAGUGCUGUAUUCUUUACCUGGCUUCCUCCCCUACAGUGUUGUAUUGCAAAAUUGUUUUCUUUGCUAGGCUCCCC